Molecule: long non-coding RNA, 399 nt
Filed under: Capsicum annuum
Lineage: Eukaryota; Viridiplantae; Streptophyta; Magnoliopsida; Solanales; Solanaceae
Description: long non-coding RNA (CANN_LNC017314)
Source: RNAcentral
AGAAAGCCUUCUCCACCGGUAGUUCUAAAGUUUUUGUAUCAAGAGCUAAACCAAAUCCAAGCAUUCACCUUGAAAGAGAAUCAUCUAGUAAUCAAAUGAAGAUUGAAUUUCAUUUUCAGUAUACUAAGGAGAAUUCUCACCCUGCAGGAGAAAGCCUUCUCCACCGGUAGUUCUAAAGUUUUUGUAUCAAGAGCUAAACCAAAUCCAAGCAUUCACCUUGAAAGAGAAUCAUCUGGUAAUCAAAUGAAGAAGGUACCGUUCUUGUUUUCCUUGACAAGCUAGGUGUUACCAUUAGCAACAAUGUUGUUUGGGGAACUGGUAUCAUGUUCAGGAGCAGGGAAGAAGAUUGAAUUUCAUUUGUCAGUAUACUUAGGAAGUGCAAUUGUCUUGUUUUGCAGG